UGGUAGGACGGGGUGUAGAAGUCCAGCGCCUGCAGCACGGGGUAGAUCAGCGCCUGGACCUUGAACUUCACUGUCAGGCUGUCAUCAGAGCCGAGCUGAGGACGCAGUCAGGGAUCAGAUCACAGCUCAGCUUCAACAGACAAAGUGGUGCCGUCCACCUCAGUGUCCCUUGGAUCGAUGAAGGGAGGCUAGCAAAGUAAACACGUUUAAAGGGCCCACAUCGGGCUCUUUUCUAGGUUCAUACUUGUAUUUUGGUAGUGUGAUGUGUGUGUGUGUGUGUGUGUGUGUGUGUGUGUGUGUGUGUGUGUGUGUGUUUGUACCUCCUGCGCCACAGCAGCAGCCAGGUUCGCUCCAGCGCUGUCGCCAGACACACACACCCUCUCCGGGUCGACGCCGUAGCGCUCUAAAACCUGAGCCGUCAGGAAGGCCCGCGACGCCGCCAGCGUGUCGUGGUACUGAUCCGGGAACACCGCCUCUGGAGCGAGACGGUAACUAUAGCAACAGGACAUCACAGGAAGACAACGUUAUUAUGUUACAUGAUGCUUUGAAACAUGACUUUGAAACAGCCGUUAGGGCAGUGGUUCAGUCCUGCAGGAGCUAAACGGUUCACUUUUUACUGAGUCAUUUUAGAGAAACUUGUCAGUUUAAAUGUAUUUUCUUCCAGAUUUUAAGUCCCCCAAGCUUCUCAUUUAAAUUCUGAUGGAAGAAGAUAGUUUAGUUUACUGUAAACAUGCUCUUUCAAUCAUGCUUCAUAUAAUAAAAAGUGAAAAUUGACAAAGAGAAAAUGAAUCUGGACUGCCAGACCCCAUUAAAGUAAUUUAUAGAAUUAAAAUGUUUAAAUUCUUUCACAAAAACAAUCUCAUCAAAAGGUCCAAUUACUUGUUUUUUGCUGCUCAACAGUUUUAUAAUCACCGAUUCCCUUUAGGCCUGCACCAUAUGAGGAAAAUCGGUGAUAUCAUUGUUCAAUAUUGCGAUGUUCGAUAUGACUUGGGGUAAAUAAAUAAAUAUUGCAGUGUGCAUAUUAGCUAUAUUUGUCAGCCUGGUUUUCUUUUAAAUUCAGAACCGCAUUAGAAUUGAAUACUUUAAAUAUAACGAGGCUACAUGUUGUUUCUAGAGCAGCAACCUUGAUGUUUACAACAGUAAAGUCACCAUAUGAACUCCAUAACAUCUCACUGGAUGCAGCGUGAUAACGAAUACUAACGUUACGGUCUUUAGCCCCGCGGCCCGUUUAAUACCGGAUUAUAGAGACCGUCCCUAAAUAAUAUAAAUAUUCUUAAUCAUCAUGUUUCAGGCCGUCUUUUGAUGAAAAUACAAUUUAUCAGUCAGCACUAAUUCCCUUUUUUUUAAACUAAUGAGCCACCUUUGGGAAGAGUUUUAAUAGACGUGUUUUCCAACACGCUGUUUUAAGAACUCUUCGUCUAUUUUGGAAUCAUUUUUGGCGUUACAUAAUAAGCUAAAUAUAUCGACAACUAAUAGAUUAAUCCUGCUGUUAUGUGACAGAGACUUACUCCACAGACACGACGACAGCGUCCAGGUCCUCCGCCAUUUUCCGACAAAGACGGUCGUACGAUCGCAUCCCUGUGAAGCAGUCGACUCACUGCUGCUUCCCUCCCUUCGGCUGGAAGACGCGGGCUGGCACGCCGCCCAGCGUGGAGUCGGUCACGUGCACGGCGGGGCAGGAGCGAGGCUCGAUGUCCUCCACCCAGGACACCA
Long non-coding RNA from Sebastes umbrosus (honeycomb rockfish), 1713 nucleotides. RefSeq lists it as uncharacterized. The transcript is spliced from 3 exons. Lineage: Eukaryota; Metazoa; Chordata; Actinopteri; Perciformes; Sebastidae. The record is from RefSeq and is a predicted model, not a curated record.